UGGCGGCGUGGAUUAGGCAUGCAAGUCGAGCGAGGAAAGUGGUAGCAAUACUUCUUAUUCGAGCGGCGUAAGGGGCAGUAAUACUUGGGAACGUACCCUCGGGUCGGGGAUAGCUGCUAGAAAUGGCGAGUAAUACCCGAUGAUCUCGAGAGAGCAAAGGCUUGCCGCCCAAGGAGCGGCCCAGGCGAUAUUAGCUAGUUGGUGAGGUAAAGGCUUACCAAGGCAUAGAUGUCUAGCGGGUGUGAGAGCACGACCCGCGCCACUGGCACUGAGACACUGGCCAGACACCUACGGGUGGCUGCAGUCGAGAAUCUUCGGCAAUGAGCGCAAGCUUGACCGAGCGACGCCGCGUGCGGGAUGAAGGNCUUCGGGUUGUAAACCCC
RNAcentral lists this ribosomal RNA (383 nucleotides) under uncultured bacterium. RNAcentral describes it as "bacterial SSU rRNA". It matches the Rfam family "Bacterial small subunit ribosomal RNA", at positions 37 to 433 of the family's 1533-position model. The record is from RNAcentral.